Molecule: unclassified non-coding RNA, 494 nt
Filed under: uncultured fungus
Lineage: Eukaryota; Fungi
Description: partial internal transcribed spacer 1
Source: RNAcentral
AGUCAGAUCUUCAGAAGGCGUGGGGUUUAAUUUCUGGUUGAGCAUAAUGACAAGGACCUCCGGCUUGCGUCGUAAAAGAUACGGGUGUUGCCCGGCUGUCUAUUAAGCGUAGACAUUCGCUUCGAUACCUGAGUGGCAAAGUGUGCUGUAGAUCACAUUUUGCAAUUUACCUCUCAAGAAAAACAAUUUAUAACUUACUGAAUAGUAUUGCGAAAACCCUAUUUUCAUGACGCCCGCCCCAGACCUAAAAUCAGAACAUUCGUUUCAUAGCGGUAUCACUACGUCACCGCAUGGCGUGGAUUCACAAACAAAGGUAACGUAAAUAGUUAUAAUACAAGCUAUGGCACCAUGAUAAUACAAAUGGAUACAAAUGAUCGAGCAACCCGACAGUAAAAGCGCCAAACCGCUUUAUAAGCAGCUUGAAGACGCCUUAAAAGAGGCUAUUGCGCGUGGAGAGUAUAAACCAGGCCAGCAGAUCCCGACGGAAAAUGAAC